GCUGGGCAUAGUGAUGUGUGCCUGUAAUCCCAGCUACUUGGGAGGCUGAGGCAGGAGAAUCGCUUGAACCUGGGAGGCAGAGGUUGCAGUGAGCCAAGGUCAUGCCACUGUACUCCAGCCUGGGUGACAGAGCAAGACUCUGUCUCAA
Unclassified non-coding RNA from Macaca fascicularis (crab-eating macaque), 148 nucleotides. It matches the Rfam family "Metazoan signal recognition particle RNA". Rfam says of the family: The signal recognition particle (SRP) is a universally conserved ribonucleoprotein. NCBI's taxonomy places the organism in Eukaryota, Metazoa, Chordata, Mammalia, Primates, Cercopithecidae. The record is from Ensembl.